Molecule: long non-coding RNA, 230 nt
Filed under: Phaseolus vulgaris (common bean)
Lineage: Eukaryota; Viridiplantae; Streptophyta; Magnoliopsida; Fabales; Fabaceae
Description: long non-coding RNA (PVUL_LNC000823)
Source: RNAcentral
GAUUUUCCUUCUGUUGUUUUUAGCAUGUUUGGUUUCACAUGGUUAGCAUGUUAAGUUGUUUAGCAUGGUUCACAUGGUUCCUUUAACACACUUUAAUAUAGUUAUGGUCCUUGGUAAAACUUAGCUCCUAGUCCGUGCAAAGGAAAUGAUUGAUGAAAUACCAUGUUUUGAAUGUUUUGAAAACUUAAAAAUAUUUGUAGUUACUUACGAAAAUUUUAAGAGGAUUGUCC